Long non-coding RNA from Salmo salar (Atlantic salmon), 971 nucleotides. RefSeq lists it as uncharacterized. The record is from RefSeq and is a predicted model, not a curated record. NCBI's taxonomy places the organism in Eukaryota, Metazoa, Chordata, Actinopteri, Salmoniformes, Salmonidae.
UUAACGCCAACAGCGGCUAAAUAUUCACCUACACUCGCUUACUUAACGCUUUCUUUAAUAUGCUAAUUUUACCUGCCAAUUUCCCUAGCUCCUCCUUUCAUUAAAUCGAUGUACAGGCAGUUUGAUGCAACAACAUCACAAUUGAAAAUGGCUAGAAGGAACUUCCAUUUUGUUGUUUCUCCGUGCUUCCAGCAACAAUCGCAGCAGUACUGUAAUGGAUUGCUUCAUGAAUGCUGUCUCCAACGGACCAUGGAGGAGAAAACAACACUGUCUGCUUGUUGAAUACUACUUCUACAAACGAGGCUACACUUGUGGCAGCACCUAUUCCUGUGCCCCCACAUCUUCUGCACCACUUCUUGUGGCCCCCUCCACCUAUACCACUUCCUGUGGCCUCCCCUCCACCAUUCCCUGAGGCUUAUCGUCCACCUUCACCACACUCUUUUGUUGAUGUUGGUGAUGACAAUGAUGUUGACCUCCAAACCAUGUUGAAGUUAAUGAGAUGCCAACGAAAUUAAUGCGAUGAGGGACAGCGUUUAUGAUUGUGCAAUGAGAGGCUUUAAGAGAGCCCGCUUUAAUCCGGAGGUAAAAAUAGACAUGAUUUUUAAGGACGCUGACGGAAAAGGGGCAGCUGAUGAGGGUGGUCCAUCGAGAAUCUCUCCGGCUGCUAAUGAGUGCCAUCCAUUCCUCUGGAGUCUUUGAGGGACCUGAUUGGCAAAAAUGCCUUUCUUGCAACUCUCAAGCACUCUAUGAUGGCGUAUACAAACAGGUGGGCCCCAUGACUGCUGUCUGUCUGGUACAUGGGGGUGUAGAGACACAUUUUUUCAGAGAGGCUAUACAGGCAAGUGUGUGGCCUACAACCUCCUGUGCCAGAACUGAAAGAAAUUGCGGAAUAUGACUUCAGAGAGAAGUUGGAGAAGGUAAGUAACUUUAUACUGUGAUGGAUGUUGUUACUGUUAAUUAGCACUAAGUUU